This 185-nucleotide ribosomal RNA is filed under the name uncultured bacterium. RNAcentral's name for it is "partial 16S ribosomal RNA". It matches the Rfam family "Bacterial small subunit ribosomal RNA", at positions 328 to 507 of the family's 1533-position model. The record is from RNAcentral.
GGGUGGGCCUACGGGAGGCAGCAGUGGGGAAUAUUGCGCAAUGGGGGAAACCCUGACGCAGCGACGCCGCGUGGGUGAUGAAGGCCUUCGGGUUGUAAAGCCCUGUUAGGUGGGAAGAAAUUCCCUAUGGUUAAUAUCCAUAGGGAUUGACGGUACCACCAGAGGAAGCACCGGCUAACUCCGUG